Molecule: ribosomal RNA, 1026 nt
Filed under: Erysiphaceae sp.
Lineage: Eukaryota; Fungi; Ascomycota; Leotiomycetes; Helotiales; Erysiphaceae
Description: partial large subunit ribosomal RNA
Rfam family: Eukaryotic large subunit ribosomal RNA
Source: RNAcentral
UGGCUUUCCGGGUAUUUCGUUUUUCAUUUUUUUUUGGGUUUUCGCGAGUCGAUUUUGCGGCAGAGAAGCUGGGGGCUCGCCAUCAUCCUACAUUUUCAGGUGACCUGAAUCAGGUAGGAUACCUCUGAAUUAAGCAUUCGAUAAGCGGAGGAAAGUAACCAACCGGGAUUACCUCAGUAACGGCGAGUGAAGCGUAACAGCUCAAAUUUGAAAUCUGGUCUUCGAGAGUCCGGGUUUGAAUUUCAGAAGAUGUUUGGAGGUAGGACGGCCUAAGUUCCUGGGAACAGGACGUCAGAGAGGGUGAGAAUCCCGUAUGUGGCCGGGUCCUACAUCCGUAGUUAAGCUUCUUUGACGAGUUGGGUAUGUUGGACAACAAGUUAAAAAGGGGGGUAAAUUUCUAUAAUAAGUUAAUUAUGGCCAGAGAACCAUAGCGCACCAAUUGAGAGAUUGGAAGGAGGAAAACCUCUGGAAAGACAGUUUAACCAUUCGUGAAAUUUGUGGAAAGGAAAGGCUUGCCAACCGGACUGGGCCUCGUCGGUUCUUCGGAGUUUUUCUCGGUGCCCUUGACCAGUCACCGGCCCGCCUUGAUUUGGAUGGUUGGAGAAAGGCCCUGGGAAAGUAGUUUCUUUGGGGAGUGUUAUAACCUAGAGCGCACAGCAGCCCAUCCCGGCCGAGGGCCCCUCCUUUGGCUAGGAUGCUGGCGUAAUGGUUGCAAGCGACCCGUCUUGAAACACGGACCAAGGAGUCUAACAUCUAUGCGAGUGUUUGGGCGUUAAACCCAUACGCGGAAUGAAAGUGAACGUAGGUGAGACCCCUUCAGGGGGCAUCAUCGACCGAUCCUGAUGUCUUCGGAUGGAUUUGAGUACGAGCAUAGCUGUUGGGACCCGAAAGAUGGUGAACUAUGCCUGAAUAGGGUGAAGCCAGAGGAAACUCUGGUGGAGGCUCGCAGCGGUUCUGACGUGCAAAUCGAUCGUCAAAUUUGGGUAUAGGGGCGAAAGACUAAUUCGAACCAUUUAGAGUUCCUCG